This 1462-nucleotide long non-coding RNA is filed under the name Gadus morhua (Atlantic cod). RNAcentral's name for it is "lncRNA (ENSGMOG00000035917.1)". Lineage: Eukaryota; Metazoa; Chordata; Actinopteri; Gadiformes; Gadidae. The record is from RNAcentral.
GAUGAAAAUACUUUAUUUAUAACUCUCUUACAAAGAACUAGCUUUUUGUUUUCUACUGGAACACUGAGCACUGAUGGUUAACCUGAUGGUCUACUGGAACACUGACCACUGAUGGUUAACCUGAUGGUCUACUGGAACACUGACCACUGAUGGUUAACCAGAUGGUCUACUGGAACACUGAUCAUUAAACUGAUCAAAAAAGAGGAUCAAACUAGAAUGCCAACAGAAUGUAUAAAAUGGUAAAUCAAAUAAACAGAGAAAGAGAGAGGGGUUCAACCAGAGCGUGAGGAAAAGAGAGAAAGACAGUGAGACAGAGCACAAGAAAGUGAGGGAAAGACAGAGUGAGAGACAGGCAAUAUUUCUUAACCACUCUUGAAAAAAAAACAACACGAACGGGUAAAAAAAUUAUAAUUAUGCUCUCUUUGCAUACGGGAUUAAUUUGCAUUGACUUUUUAAGUCAUCUAUUUUUGUCUGAACCUGAGCAUCACCUUUAAUGUAGUUUUCGCAUAAAUUUGCUACAUCUUUCAGCUUUGCCUGUUUUGUUUUAUCGGGGAGCUUUGUGAACUUGGCAGGUGACGCUGUUGUCAACUCUGCAAUGCUUGCCGUGGACCUGACUGUGAGUUCGUUCACCCCUGCGUAUGCACAGGAAGCCGACAAUUUCAAGCCCUGAUUGUAUGCUUUCAGGACCUUCUUGUAUCUUCUUAUCACUUCAAAAGGGCCACAGGCUGCAAGGAGCAAAUCAUAAAGAAAAACUACAUUAUGGACGGUUUUCACAAGGACUGCGUUUAAGACAGAUUGACAUGAUGAUGGAUGAGAUAUCAAGGAGUCCGACCUCUCUUUUAAAGAUGGCAAAGAAGCUACGAGAAGUAUGUAUUUGGGCACUUAAUAGAAGAAGGAGAAGGAAGGGACAGCGAUUGGGUGGAAGACACGAGUAUGUGGUGAUCGACGAAAGCCACUUCAGACAUAAGAGAAAGGUGAGAAAAUAUUGUUUGAAUUUUCAUAACAUUUACAUAAAAUAUCAGAGUAACAACUACCAUAAUUAAAAUAUGCUGGAAAAUUAAGUGGUAGACAUCACUGACAACAACACACAUUGAUAAUAGUAAAGUACAUACACACGCAUUGUGCACCCAUUCCCCUACACACUGCAUUCGGCCAAGUGUCAUUCUUCACAUUCAGCCCCAACCUACACACACUCAUUUACCCACAUGUGCCCACUACUCUACCCCGACAGCUCUGCCCCUAGCUCUGCCCAUCAUCAAAAAAAACCUCCACUGAUGUAUUCUGUAUAUUGUAAGGCCCCCCCCGCCUCCCCCCUAACGCCUGCUACCACCCCCCACUCCACACACCCCAUAGCCCAUCACCAGAAAGCCCCCCGCCCCUCCUGCCUGCAAACCCCACCCAGCACUUGCCCAUUCGUCAUACCACUUCAUCACCUUAUGCCUAGUACACAACAUCAUACGAG